CCUACGGGUGGCAGCAGUAGGGAAUAUUGCUCAAUGGGGGUACCCCUGAAGCAGCAACGCCGCGUGGAGGAUGAAGGUUCUCGGAUUGUAAACUCCUUUUGUUAGAGAAGAUAAUGACGCUACCUAACAAAUAAGCACCGGUUACCCCCGUACCAGCAUCCGCGGUAUUACGGGAGGCGGAAGCGGUACUCGGAAUCAUUGGGCGUAAAUGGCGCGUAGGCGGGAUAGCAAGUCAGAUGGGAAAUCCUAGGGGUUAACCAUAGAACGGCAUUUGAAACUGGUGUUCUAGAGUUGGGGAGAGGUAGGUGGAAUUCUUGGUGUAGGGGUAAAAUCCAUAGAGAUCAAGAGGAAUACUGAUUGCGAAGGCGACAU
Molecule: ribosomal RNA, 372 nt
Filed under: uncultured bacterium
Lineage: Bacteria
Description: partial 16S ribosomal RNA
Rfam family: Bacterial small subunit ribosomal RNA
Source: RNAcentral